This 467-nucleotide ribosomal RNA is filed under the name uncultured bacterium. Its description in RNAcentral is "partial 16S ribosomal RNA". It matches the Rfam family "Bacterial small subunit ribosomal RNA", at positions 29 to 507 of the family's 1533-position model. The record is from RNAcentral.
ACGAACGCUGGCGGCGUGCUUAACACAUGCCAGUCGAACGGAAAGGCCCUGCUUUUGUGGGGUGCUCGAGUGGCGAACGGGUGAGUAACACGUGAGUAACCUGCCCUUGACUUUGGGAUAACUUCAGGAAACUGGGGCUAAUACCGGAUAGGAGCUCCUGCUGCAUGGUGGGGGUUGGAAAGUUUCGGCGGUUGGGGAUGGACUCGCGGCUUAUCAGCUUGUUGGUGGGGUAGUGGCUUACCAAGGCUUUGACGGGUAGCCGGCCUGAGAGGGUGACCGGCCACAUUGGGACUGAGAUACGGCCCAGACUCCUACGGGAGGCAGCAGUGGGGAAUAUUGCACAAUGGGCGGAAACCUGAUGCAGCAACGCCGCGUGCGGGAUGACGGCCUUCGGGUUGUAAACCGCUUUCGCCUGUGACGAAGCGUGAGUGACGGUAAUGGGUAAAGAAGCACCGGCUAACUACGUG